CCUACGGGAGACUGCAGUGAGGAAUAUUGGUCAAUGGACGAGAGUCUGAACCAGCCAAGUCGCGUGAGGGAUGACUGCCCUAUGGGUUGUAAACCUCUUUUAUAUGGGAGUAAAAUGUUCCACGUGUGGGAUUUUGUAUAUACCCUGUUAAUAAGGCUCGGCUAACCCCGUGCCAGCAGCCGCGGUAAUACGGGGGGUCCGAGCGUUAUCCGGAUUUAUUGGGUUUAAAGGGAGCGUAGGUGGAUUGUUAAGCCAGUUGUGAAAGUUUGCGGCUCAACCGUAAAAUCGCAGUUGAAACUGGCAGUCUUGAGUACAGGAGAGGUGGGCGGAAUUCGUGGUGUAGCGGUGAAAUGCUUAGAUAUCACGAAGAACCCCGAUUGCGAAGGCAGCUUACUGGACUGCAACUGACACUGAGGCACGAAAGCGUGGGUAUCAAACAGGAUUAGAUACCCCUGUAGUC
RNAcentral lists this ribosomal RNA (460 nucleotides) under uncultured bacterium. Its description in RNAcentral is "partial 16S ribosomal RNA". It matches the Rfam family "Bacterial small subunit ribosomal RNA", at positions 338 to 795 of the family's 1533-position model. The record is from RNAcentral.